GAUGAAGAACGUAGCGAAAUGCGAUAAGUAAUGUGAAUUGCAGAAUUCAGUGAAUCAUCGAAUCUUUGAACGCACAUUGCGCCCGCCAGUAUUCUGGCGGGCAUGCCUGUUCGAGCGUCAUUUCAACCCUCAGGCCCCCAGUUCCUGGUGUUGGGGAUCGGCCCAGCCUUCCUGUAAGGCCGCCGGCCCCGAAAUCUAGUGGCGGUCUCGCUGUAGUCCUCCUCUGCGUAGUAGCACAACCUCGCAGUUGGAACGCGGCGGUGGCCAUGCCGUUAAACACCCCACUUCUGAAAGUUGACCUCGGAUCAGGUAGGAAUACCCGCUGAACUUAAGCAUAUCAAUAAGCGGAGGA
This 352-nucleotide unclassified non-coding RNA is filed under the name soil metagenome. RNAcentral's name for it is "partial contains 5.8S ribosomal RNA, internal transcribed spacer 2, and large subunit ribosomal RNA". The stretch from base 1 to 120 matches the Rfam family "5.8S ribosomal RNA", at positions 35 to 154 of the family's 154-position model. The record is from RNAcentral.